RNAcentral lists this ribosomal RNA (254 nucleotides) under uncultured bacterium. RNAcentral describes it as "partial 16S ribosomal RNA". It matches the Rfam family "Bacterial small subunit ribosomal RNA", at positions 524 to 776 of the family's 1533-position model. The record is from RNAcentral.
UACAGAGGUCACAAGCGUUAUCCGGAUUUAUUGGGCGUAAAGCGUUUCGUAGGUGGGUUCAUAAGUUAUUUUUCAAAUCCCAAGGCUCAACCUUGGAAAGGGAGAUAAUACUGUGAGUCUUGAUUUUUGGUGGGGUAUCUGGAACUGAUGGUGUAGUAGUGAAAUACGUUGAUAUCAUCAGGAACUCCAAGGGCGAAGGCAGGAUACUAACCAAUUAAUGACACUGAGGAACGACAGCUAGGGGAGCGAAAGGG